Molecule: ribosomal RNA, 339 nt
Filed under: Triticum aestivum (bread wheat)
Lineage: Eukaryota; Viridiplantae; Streptophyta; Magnoliopsida; Poales; Poaceae
Description: partial small subunit ribosomal RNA
Source: RNAcentral
AUGCUAGCCACUAUUCCACUCCAUGGUGGUUCAGAAAUUGCACUACUGGAUAGGAGUACAAGCUACACUGCGGCCAAAGGAAGAUUAAUUGCUCUUGAAGUGAAGUUGGGAGAAUCUACUCUUCCAUUUCUACGAACGCGGGUCGAUUACGAUGAGUCAUCUCACAAGCCAUACAUGUCGUCGUCAGACCAGGGAAGGGAAGGGAUCACAUCAGCUUCACCGCGGAAGGAGGAGUGCCGAGCUCUGAGGGCCUCAUGGCAGGCCGCCUUAUCUGCCACGCAGCACGCCCGGUGGGCCCCACGGAGGCCCUGCCCGUUGGCCGCCAUGGCUCCUAUAUAG